GCCGAGGUGGCGGAACGGCAGACGCGCUGCGUUCAGGGCGCAGUGUCCGCAAGGGCGUGCGGGUUCAAAUCCCGCCCUCGGCACCA
This 86-nucleotide transfer RNA is filed under the name Dehalococcoidia bacterium. RNAcentral describes it as "tRNA-Leu". It matches the Rfam family "tRNA". Rfam says of the family: Transfer RNA (tRNA) molecules are approximately 80 nucleotides in length. Their secondary structure includes four short double-helical elements and three loops (D, anti-codon, and T loops). The record is from RNAcentral. RNAcentral also lists the same sequence under 1 other name. Lineage: Bacteria; Bacillati; Chloroflexota; Dehalococcoidia.